Long non-coding RNA from Eriocheir sinensis (Chinese mitten crab), 529 nucleotides. RefSeq lists it as uncharacterized. NCBI's taxonomy places the organism in Eukaryota, Metazoa, Arthropoda, Malacostraca, Decapoda, Varunidae. The record is from RefSeq and is a predicted model, not a curated record. The transcript is spliced from 3 exons.
AUGGCUGGGUUUACAAGAGGUUUUAAUGGCUGGGUUUACAAGAGGUUUUAAUAGCUGGGUUCAAGAGAGGUUUUAAUGGCUGGGUUUACAAGAUGUUUUAAUAGCUGGGUUCAAGAGAGGUUUUAAUGGCUGGGUUUACAAGAGGUUUUAAUAGCUGGGUUCAAGAGAGGUUUUAAUGGCUGGGUUUACAAGAUGUUUUAAUAGCUGGGUUCAAGAGAGGUUUUAAUAGCUGGGUUCAAGAGAGGUUUUAAUAGCUGGGUUCAAGAGAGGUUUUAAUAGCUGGGUUCAAGAGAGGUUUUAAUAGCUGGGUUCAAGAGAGGUUUUAAUAGCUGGGUUCAAGAGAGGUUUUAAUAGCUGGGUUCAAGAGAGGUUUUAAUAGCUGGGUUCAAGAGAGGUUUUAAUAGCUGGGUUCAAGAGAGGUUUUAAUAGCUGGGUUCAAGAGAGGUUUUAAUGGCUGGGUUCAAGAGAGGUUUUAAUGGCUGGGUUCAAGAGAGGUUUUAAUAGCUGGGUUCAAGAGAGGUUUUAAUGG